This 414-nucleotide ribosomal RNA is filed under the name uncultured bacterium. RNAcentral describes it as "bacterial SSU rRNA". It matches the Rfam family "Bacterial small subunit ribosomal RNA", at positions 91 to 518 of the family's 1533-position model. The record is from RNAcentral.
AGUAGCGGCGGACGGGUGAGUAACGCGUAGGUAAUCUGCCGUUCAGCACAGGGAUAGCCUAGGGAACCUGGAUUAAUACCUGAUAAUGCAGUUUGGUCACAUGGCCAGAUUGCCAAAGAUUUAUCGGCUGGAAGAUGAACCUGCGUCUGAUUAGGAUAGUUGGUGAGGUAACGGCCCACCAAGUCAACGAUCAGUAGCCGACCUGAGAGGGUGAUCGGCCACAUUGGAACUGAGACACGGUCCAAACUCCUACGGGAGGCAGCAGUGGGGAGUAUUGCACAAUGGGCGCAAGCCUGAUGCAGCCAACGCCGCGUGAGCGAUGAAGGUCUUCGGAUCGUAAAGCUCUGUCCUCUGGGAAGAAGAAGUGACGGUACCAGAGGAGGAAGCCCCGGCUAACUACGUGCCAGCAGCCGC